GCUACUACCGAUUGAGUGAUCCGGUGAAUAAUUCGGACUGCAGCAGUGUUCAGUUCUUGAACAUUGCAGUGGAAAGUUUAAUGAACCUUAUCACUUAGAGGAAGGAGAAGUCGUAACAAGGUUUCUGU
This 128-nucleotide ribosomal RNA is filed under the name Alexandrium sp. Its description in RNAcentral is "partial small subunit ribosomal RNA". It matches the Rfam family "Eukaryotic small subunit ribosomal RNA", at positions 1678 to 1806 of the family's 1831-position model. Lineage: Eukaryota; Dinophyceae; Gonyaulacales; Pyrocystaceae. The record is from RNAcentral.